Molecule: ribosomal RNA, 399 nt
Filed under: uncultured bacterium
Lineage: Bacteria
Description: bacterial SSU rRNA
Rfam family: Bacterial small subunit ribosomal RNA
Source: RNAcentral
GGGGGAUAUUGCACAAUGGAGGAAACUCUGAUGCAGCGACGCCGCGUGAGGGAAGACGGUCUUCGGAUUGUAAACCUCUGUCUUAGGGGAAGAAAAUGACGGUACCCUAAGAGGAAGCUCCGGCUAACUACGUGCCAGCAGCCGCGGUAAUACGUAGGGAGCGAGCGUUGUCCGGAAUUACUGGGUGUAAAGGGAGCGUAGGCGGGGCAGCAAGUUGGAUGUUUAAACUACCGGCUUAACCGGUAGCUGCAUCCAAAACUGCAGUUCUUGAGUGAAGUAGAGGCAGGCGGAAUUCCUAGUGUAGCGGUGAAAUGCGUAGAUAUUAGGAGGAACACCAGUGGCGAAGGCGGCCUGCUGGGCUUUAACUGACGCUGAGGCUCGAAAGCGUGGGGAGCAAAC